CAAACCCGCACGCAGACACAUACACGCACAGCUGGGCGGGGUGUAUUGAGAAAAGGAAACUUACUGAACUGAAGUAGACUAUUAAAGAGAAAAACUUGUUGGGAGGCUUGAAAAACAGGUGAAGAUCAGAUGAGCCUGGCUCUUCAUUGAAAGACUGGCCACUGGAACCUAAUUACACCCCAUUUUCCCCUCAGAGAAGACUGUUACAGAGACGGCCCCCAUGGCUCAGGAAGGUCCCAGCACAGCAGACACUCGCAGGGGCAUUCAUCAGUGUAACUCCCAGGGAUGCAUCUGCUGCAAGCAUAUAUUAAAGGGAUCGGAUCUAUUUCAGAGUGCAGCUACAGGAAACAUAUAUGAAAUCCCACAAUCCCUGACCUGUAAGACACCAAGUGUCAUCUACGUCAUCCAGUGUAAAGAAUGCAAGGUGCAAUAUGUUGGGAAGACCUCAACCACACUGCAAAAAAGAUUCAAAGACCACAGAAGUUCCAUCAGAAAAUGUCAACAUCGGCCAAUCCCUGAUCAUUUCACCAAGAAUGGUCAUCGUCUUGAUGAUCUGAUUAUCUAUCCAAUUGAGCAGGUCACUGGUUCCAAAGAAUUAAGUGAGAGGGAACUGCACUGGAUCAGAGUGCUUGACACAGUUGAAAAUGGACUAAAUCUGGGGCCAUAUAAAUGUGUAAGACCGCAGACCCAAGAUGAUGGAGACAAAAGACCAGUGGAACCAACUGAGGGACAAGUGGAAGAUGAGUCUCCUCAGAAAGGUAAAAGAAAGCUCCAUGGGAAUGAAGAUGUGAAAUCAAAGAAGAGGAAGAUGAAAAAUAACAGACAGUCUGUGUUUUCAUAUGAGACAGAAGAACUUCUCUCAACCUGUGAAGAUGCAUUCCAGGUUGGAAAAGAUGCCAUAUCUGAGGUUGACAACAAACUCGAAGGGGUUUCCUGCCGAGAAAACUCAUUUCUGGAAGACUUGAAAGAGAAGAUCUCAAGUCUAAAAGAUUAUAACCACGAAGAGAAAAUUUACAUUGGAUUCUUCGGGAAGACGGGAGCAGGAAAGAGCUCAUUGAUCAACGCAAUUGUCGAAGAAAGCCAACUUCUACCUUCAGGAAGCAUGCAUGCCUGCACUUCCGUUUUUGUGCAUGUACAAGCUAAUACUGAAUCCAGCAAAUACAAAGCUGAUAUUGAAUUCAUCAGUGCAGAGGACUGGAAAUCAGAACUACGUUUCCUGCGAGAUUCACUCAAAAAUGAAAAUGACCAAGACUCACUCAAAAAUGAAAAUGACCAACAAGACACCAUUGCAGAAAACGAUGAUGGAAUUGCAGAAAUGGCAAAAGAAAAGAUUACAGCCGUUUAUGGAGAAGAGGGCCUGAAGAAAGUUUAUGGUGAAUUGGUGGGAGCCAGAGAGUUUCCUGUGGUUCUAGGCACAGGAAUGAAGACUCUGACUUUUGACACUGUCGCAGAACUGUCUGAAGGCAUUGAAUGCUACAUUCGGAGUGAUACAGAAUCAGAUACAAAUGAAGGGAAGCAGUUCUGGCCUCUGGUGAAGCGAGUCACCAUCUCCUUGCCGAAGUCUCCAGCUCUGCUGGAGGGGAUUGUGCUGGUGGACCUGCCUGGAGCUGGAGAUGUCAGUAAAUACAGAAGUGACAUGUGGAAAGAGUGUCUCAGCCAGUGCUCCUCUGUCUGGAUUGUGAAUGAUAUGAAACGUGCCCUGUCUGAGAAAGUAGCCAAUGAAAUCUUUGAUACAUCAUUGAGAACCAUUGCUGGAGGAGGAGAGUGUUACAAUAUCACCUUCAUCUGCACCCAUACAGAUAUCAUCAAUCCAGAGAACUUCAGAAAAAAUUAUCGUAUCACAGAUGAGGACCUUAACAUUAACAAGGAUACCCCGGAAUAUGAGAAGAAAGAAAAACAGGCGUGUAUACUGUGCCGUAAUCAGAAAUUUAAAGACAAAAUCAGUAAAGUCUUCAAAGCUAAAACAAAGAAAUUUCUGCUUGGUGAUGAAGACCGUUCAAAUGAGUUCUUUGAUGUGUUCACUGUGAGUUCUGAAGAAUUCAAGAGUACUGCACAAGGGAAGUCAACUGUUCUGGAUCGCAAUGAAACUGAAUUGCCAGCGCUGAUGGAGCACAUGAAGAAACUGUACGUCUCCCAUUUCGAGAAGAAAGUGAAAGAUUAUGUAUCUGAGGUUUCUGGAAUCAUUUCAUAUCUUCACUUUUCAAAGGAUGCUCUCAGUUCAAAGAAACAGUCUUCAAAUGACGACGAAUUCAACCGACUUGAAAAGGUUCUGGGUAAAACAUGCGAAAAAUUGAAUGAAAAUCUGAGCCAAGUUCACCAAAAACUCCAGAAAGAACUGGAGAUGGGAGUAAAGACAGCAGAGACAACAUGCCUGAAAAAUGCCACAGACAGAGUGCUGGAAUCAGUAUUACCGCUUACUUGAGUGAAUGUGAAUGUUGUGAAGUGCAACAUUUGCAGAGCCGAACUUGCCUGGCAUGGGAGCACAUCGAUGAUGCUGGAGCGUCUGAAGAGGAGGCACUUUGGCUCUCUGGAUGAUGAAGAUUUGUCUUGAAAGGGCCUGAUAACAGAGGCCACCACAAGACGCUUAAAGCCAUGUGUAGAAAUGAUGGAUGUUACCGAUCUGUAACAGGAGGGUUAGUUGAUCUGAACUACACUCUGUCAGAACCCAUGUACAAAAAGAUGAAUGAAGACAACCACUUCCAGAAGAUAUUUGGCACUGGACCUUCAGGAACCUCUUUCAGAAAGACCCGAAAGACCUCAAUUCAAGCGCAAUUUGAAAGUUUCCAAGAGAACUUCAUCACAAAUGACUAUCUGAUAAUCAGGACAAGGGAUAAAGAGAAAUACCUGCGUCUGGUGUACAUUAGAACAGAGCAAAGAAAAGUGCACAGGAAACUGGAGAAUGAAAUCCUACAGAGAAAGAAGCUGAUCUACAAUUCCCUCAGUGAUUCAAUCCGUGACAAGAUGAAGCAAACAUAUCAAGAAUGCUCUGACAUCACAGGAAAAGAAUCUUUCAGAAAGAUUCAGGAGAAAAUUAAAAGUGCAAUUGAGGAUUUCAAAAAGACCAUGUUCCACAAUGCCAAGACGAAGAUGCUGAAAGAGUUCAGUGAUCUGCAGAAAUACAUUGUGGAUCAAAUUAAGACACGGAUGACAACCGCCUUGAGACUGGGUCUACGCCAGAUCCCUGAGGACCUGACUGGCCUCCCAGACGUUUCAGAAGAGACUGAGAUGAUGGAGCGAUGCUGUGAGUCUUUGGGCCUCCAGGUGUUUUAAGAACCGAAAGAGGAUGAUGGAUCCAGAAGCAGCAGAAUUAUCAAACUGAUUUGAGAUCACCAUGGCAACCUGUCUGUGGGUGCUGUCAAAUAUGCAUUCUAUUGAUAACCAUUUUUCUUAUUAUUUCACUGACUAUGUAAUACUUAAUACUUACUGCUUAACUGCACAACAAGGCCACAGAUUAACAUCGAUGAGUUUUUGUGGAAAGGUGGUCUCAAAUACACUUGCAGCAUCAAUGUUGGCUUUGAAUAACUAGUCAACUUAUCAGUUCAGUAAGCAAUAAUGUAUGUUAAACUAUGUGAUACUAUACUUCUGCUGUCGCUCUUUUUAGAAUCUUUAAACAGAAAACUAUUUUUUCGUACUUUUUUUAUUGAUGAAAACAUUGAAAAAUGAAUAAUUUGUUUAGUUUAGAACUCAGGGUGGUAGGAAUACAGCAAUCAUAUCAUGUUUGUUCACUUCUUCAAUUCAGUUACUUUAUGCAAUAUAUAAUCAUAUCAAUAAUCAUCUUAAAGUAGAAUGUGCCUGGUAUAAGAAAGGACUUUUCCUGUACUGUGGGAUUUGUUCUUUGCCAGUUUAAUAUUUAGAAUUGUUAAAACAGCUAAAUUGUUGAACUUCAGUCUGAAUCACUUCUAAUUUGGAAAAGUGAGGGCAUAAUGAAUGUUUAUUCUCCUGGGCCUGACAGUAGGCGGGUGUGCCUUUCCUCAGUUUGGUCUGGAUUCUGGACUUUUUUAUUUGGAAAAUUGUAGUUUUUAUUUCCAUUCGCUUGAAUCAGGGCUUUCGUGUAAUACAGCUGCAAGGAAGUUUAGGGAAUAGAACUGCAUAUCACUGGUUUACAUCUACUUUUAGUCAUAUUUCAAAAAAUUGCUUUUUAAAAAUAACAUUUACAUACUUAGUAUUUCUAGAACCACCUCCAUAUCAGAACUGCUCUUAUCCGCCUAUAUUGAUCUUAUUUCUUUGUGUGGGAUUUAUAGUGGGAAAUCAGGUUUGUAGGGAUAUAGCCAUGUGUGUUUACUUCUUCAAUUCAGUUACUUACAUGCAAUAUACACUCAGUAGCCACUUUAUUAGGUAGACCUGUACACCAGCUUCUUCAUGCAAAUAUUUAAUCAGCCAAUCAAAAUGCAUUGUUCAUGAGAGUGGUCAAAGGAGAAGGGCCAGACUGGUCAAAUUUGACAGGAAGGUGACAGUAACGCAAAUAAGCAGACAUUACAACAGCCUCUAAGUGGAUCGGCUAUAGCAGCAGAAGAAGAAAAGGGAGGAAAAGUGAAUGUCCCACUGAACUGCAUUGCUAAAUGCUAUGCUACUGCAUUUCAUCAUAGAUGGCAGCAGCAGCAACUUAAUUUAAGCAAACAAAGCAUUAAAUCGCUCUGCAACCACAAAAUCACACGGCUCCGUAUCGUCAGCAAAUGAUUGACAUGCAGCUCUUCGUUACUUUUUUAAAAUAUCUUGGUUACAAGCACACGGUCAGAUUUGUGUACCAAACACAACAACAAAGAUUAAGUUUAUCCCUGGCUGGCCACUCUCAUGAGAGGCACUAAAACAUUCGGGCCCUGGGGUUUUUUUCUCCAACUGUGCUUGACAUUGGUUGCAGGCUGCCAUCGAUAGCCGACUGAUUACAUAAAUGUAUUCUAUGAUUUUUAAAUCACACGAGUCGGGACGAUAAAUGAAUACAGACACCACUGCCGGUGGCAUUAGGAUGGAGUUUUAGCCUCGUCGAUCUAAAAACGCAAAACAGGACUUUUUUCUCAUUGAAAUCCCAUCGUAUUCAGCAUAUAGCUAUGUAUUUAAACCAUGAAACACAUACUUUGAGUCCAGACUUCAACGCUAUGUAGUUGUUUAUAUUUAGCUUCCACCGUGCUAUUUAUUAGGGAGCAAUAUACUGGAAGUAUCGGCCCCCGAAACAUCCACUUUACCUCCCUAUAAGUCAAAAAAAUAAGUUUAAUAAAUACCUAAUAAAGAGCUCACUGAGUGUAUAAUCAUAUCGAUAAUCAUCCAUGACGUAGAAUGUGCCCAGAAUAAAAGGGGAAUUAUUCUGUA
Molecule: RNA transcript, 5304 nt
Organism: Conger conger (European conger)
Lineage: Eukaryota; Metazoa; Chordata; Actinopteri; Anguilliformes; Congridae
Gene name: nuclear GTPase SLIP-GC-like
Exons: 21
Source: RefSeq, a predicted model, not a curated record